AUACGGAGGACGCGAGCGUUAAUCGGAAUUACUGGGCGUAAAGCGUGCGCAGGCGGUUUUGUAAGACAGAGGUGAAAUCCCCGGGCUCAACCAGGGAACUGCCUUUGUUACUGCAAGGCUAGAGUACGGGAGAGGGGGAUAGAAUUCCGCGUGUAGCAGUGAAAUGCGUAGAUAUGCGGAGGAACACCGAUGGUGAAGGCAAGCCCCUGGGCCUGUACUGACGCACAUGCACGAAAGCGUGGGGAGCAAACAGGAUUAGAUACCCUGGCAGUCCACGCCCUAAACGAUGUCAACUGGUUGUUGGGUCUUCAUUGACUCAGUAACGAAGCUAACGCGUGAAGUUGACCGCCUGGGGAGUACGGCCGCAAGGUUUAAACUCAAAGGAAUUGACGGGG
RNAcentral lists this ribosomal RNA (395 nucleotides) under uncultured bacterium. RNAcentral's name for it is "partial 16S ribosomal RNA". It matches the Rfam family "Bacterial small subunit ribosomal RNA", at positions 523 to 918 of the family's 1533-position model. The record is from RNAcentral.